This 497-nucleotide ribosomal RNA is filed under the name uncultured bacterium. RNAcentral's name for it is "partial 16S ribosomal RNA". It matches the Rfam family "Bacterial small subunit ribosomal RNA", at positions 28 to 507 of the family's 1533-position model. The record is from RNAcentral.
GAUGAACGCUGGCGGCGUGCCUAAUACAUGCAAGUCGAGCGAACGGACGAGAAGCUUGCUUCUCUGAUGUUAGCGGCGGACGGGUGAGUAACACGUGGAUAACCUACCUAUAAGACUGGGAUAACUUCGGGAAACCGGAGCUAAUACCGGAUAAUAUUUUGAACCGCAUGGUUCAAAAGUGAAAGACGGUCUUGCUGUCACUUAUAGAUGGAUCCGCGCUGCAUUAGCUAGUUGGUAAGGUAACGGCUUACCAAGGCAACGAUGCAUAGCCGACCUGAGAGGGUGAGCGGCCACACUGGAACUGAGACCCGGUCCAGACUCCUACGGGAGGCAGCAGUAGGGAAUCUUCCGCAAUGGGCGAAAGCCUGACGGAGCGAGGCCGCGUGAGUGAUGAAGGUCUUCGGAUCGUAAAACUCUGUUAUUAGGGAAGAACAUAUGUGUAAGUAACUGUGCACAUCUUGACGGUACCUAAUCAGAAAGCCACGGCUAACUACGUG